RNAcentral lists this ribosomal RNA (497 nucleotides) under uncultured bacterium. RNAcentral describes it as "partial 16S ribosomal RNA". It matches the Rfam family "Bacterial small subunit ribosomal RNA", at positions 28 to 507 of the family's 1533-position model. The record is from RNAcentral.
GACGAACGCUGGCGGCGUGCCUAAUACAUGCAAGUAGAACGCUGAAGAGAGGAGCUUACUCUUCUUGGAUGAGUUGCGAACGGGUGAGUAACGCGUAGGUAACCUGCCUUGUAGCGGGGGAUAACUAUUGGAAACGAUAGCUAAUACCGCAUAACAAUGGAUGACACAUGUCAUUUAUUUGAAAGGGGCAAUUGCUCCACUACAAGAUGGACCUGCGUUGUAUUAGCUAGUAGGUGAGGUAAUGGCUCACCUAGGCGACGAUACAUAGCCGACCUGAGAGGGUGAUCGGCCACACUGGGACUGAGACACGGCCCAGACUCCUACGGGAGGCAGCAGUAGGGAAUCUUCGGCAAUAGGGGCAACCCUGACCGAGCAACGCCGCGUGAGUGAAGAAGGUUUUCGGAUCGGAAAGCUCUGUUGUAAGUCAAGAACGGGUGUGAGAGUGGAAAGUUCACACUGUGACGGUAGCUUACCAGAAAGGGACGGCUAACUACGUG